UACGUAGGGCGCAAGCGUUAUCCGGAAUUAUUGGGCGUAAAGAGCUCGUAGGCGGUUCGGUAAGUCGGAUGUGAAAUCUCCACGCUCAACGUGGAGGGGCCAUUCGAUACUGCCGUGACUCGAGUCCGGUAGGGGAGUGUGGAAUUCCCGGUGUAGCGGUGAAAUGCGCAGAGAUCGGGAGGAACACCCGUGGCGAAGGCGGCGCUCUGGGCCGGUACUGACGCUGAGGAGCGAAAGCGUGGGGAGCGAACAGG
This 254-nucleotide ribosomal RNA is filed under the name uncultured bacterium. RNAcentral's name for it is "partial 16S ribosomal RNA". It matches the Rfam family "Bacterial small subunit ribosomal RNA", at positions 524 to 776 of the family's 1533-position model. The record is from RNAcentral.